This 515-nucleotide ribosomal RNA is filed under the name Oedipina taylori (Taylor's worm salamander). Its description in RNAcentral is "partial 16S ribosomal RNA". It matches the Rfam family "Bacterial large subunit ribosomal RNA", at positions 1817 to 2597 of the family's 2925-position model. The record is from RNAcentral. Lineage: Eukaryota; Metazoa; Chordata; Amphibia; Caudata; Plethodontidae.
CGCCUUUUGACAUAUAUUUAUAAAAGGUCCUGCCUGCCCAGUGACCAUGUUCAACGGCCGCGGUAUCAUGACCGUGCAAAGGUAGCGUAAUCACUUGUCUUUUAAAUAAAGACUAGUAUGAACGGCAACACGAGAGUCCAACUGUCUCACUAAACUGGUCAGUGAAAUUAAUCUUUCCGUGCAGAAGCGGAACUAAUCAUAUAAGACGAGAAGACCCUGUGGAGCUUUAAAUCUAAGCUAAUAUGUAUAAUACCAUAGCACAUGAUUUUCGGUUGGGGCGACCGUGAGGCAAAACAAACCCUCAAGACAUUAAUUAGAGAGACAUCUCAACCAAAUAGUAAAACUAGCACAUUGACCCAAUAAUUGAUCAACGAACCAAGUUACCCCAGGGAUAACAGCGCAAUCCACUCAUAGAGCCCAUAUCGACGAGCGGGUUUACGACCUCGAUGUUGGAUCAGGACCACCUAGUGGAGCAGCAACUACUAAGGGUUCGUUUGUUCAACGAUUAAAGUCCU